CAUAAAGCUCUUUUGUCAGUGGAAGAAACACCGGCUCUAACACACUCCGGGAAUGACGGUACCUGAAGAAUAAGCACCGGCUAACUACGUGCCAGCAGCCGCGGUAAUACGUAGGGUGCGAGCGUUAAUCGGAAUUACUGGGCGUAAAGCGUGCGCAGGCGGUUGUACAAGACAGGCGUGAAAUCCCCGGGCUUAACCUGGGAAUGGCGCCUGUGACUGUACGGCUAGAGUGUGUCAGAAGGGGGGUAGAAUUCCACGUGUAGCAGUGAAAUGCGUAGAUAUGUGGAGGAAUACCAAUGGCGAAGGCAGCCCCCUGG
RNAcentral lists this ribosomal RNA (317 nucleotides) under uncultured bacterium. RNAcentral's name for it is "bacterial SSU rRNA". It matches the Rfam family "Bacterial small subunit ribosomal RNA", at positions 424 to 732 of the family's 1533-position model. The record is from RNAcentral.